Molecule: long non-coding RNA, 499 nt
Organism: Hordeum vulgare subsp. vulgare (domesticated barley)
Lineage: Eukaryota; Viridiplantae; Streptophyta; Magnoliopsida; Poales; Poaceae
Exons: 2
Source: RefSeq, a predicted model, not a curated record
ACCCAUUGACAUAUCAUAUUUACUCACAAUGCGGAGAUAGAAGCCCCCAACAUUGUAAUACAAGAUCAGAUCGAAAAAACUUUGUAAUACAAGAUGAGGGCUACACAAAUUCUACUCCUAGUCCUUGUCCUCUUCAUGCUAUCCCCAGAUCUGGCAAAGGCUAAGCUGGAGUGCACGGAUUUCCUCAUAGCCAACCAGUGCGACGUCGACGAGAUCACAUGCCAACAUUACUGCUACAACCAGUUCAACGGAACCGGCAAGUGCAUCCACAAGAAAGGAUGCCAGUGUCAUUUCUGCUAUGCAACUCCACCAAAGCCAUCGCCUGCUAGCAGCUCCUAGUCGUAGUUUUCUCUUUAAUUUUCUGUUUAAUCAAGGUCAAUGUACAACAAUUAUGACACAAUUAACUACAUGUACUGUGGCCUAUGCUGCGAAGUUAUAUGUUAAUCAAGGUCAAGGAUAGAGCACUCGCUGAAAAUGAAUAAACUCAUAUGUAAAUUAA